UCCCGCUUUCGCGGGCAGUCUCCUUAGAGUGCCCGGCCGGACCGCUGGCAACUAGGGAUAAGGGUUGCGCUCGUUGCGGGACUUAACCCAACAUCUCACGACACGAGCUGACGACGGCCAUGCAGCACCUGUCUCAGCGCUCCCUUGCGGGCACCCCACCCUUUCGGGCGGGUUCGCUGGAUGUCAAGGCCUGGUAAGGUUCUGCGCGUCGCUUCGAAUUAAACCACAUGCUCCACCGCUUGUGCGGGCCCCCGUCAAUUCCUUUGAGUUUCACACUUGCGUGCGUACUUCCCAGGCGGAGUGCUUAACGCGUUAGCUACGGCACCCGGCGGAAGCCGGACACCCAGCACUCAUCGUUUAGGGCGUGGACUAC
This 373-nucleotide unclassified non-coding RNA is filed under the name uncultured bacterium. RNAcentral describes it as "contains 16S-23S intergenic spacer region". The record is from RNAcentral.